RNAcentral lists this ribosomal RNA (1060 nucleotides) under uncultured Leptothrix sp. RNAcentral describes it as "bacterial SSU rRNA". It matches the Rfam family "Bacterial small subunit ribosomal RNA", at positions 335 to 1394 of the family's 1533-position model. The record is from RNAcentral. Lineage: Bacteria; Pseudomonadati; Pseudomonadota; Betaproteobacteria; Burkholderiales; Sphaerotilaceae.
AUUCCUACGGGAGGCAGCAGUGGGGAAUUUUGGACAAUGGGGGCAACCCUGAUCCAGCCAUGCCGCGUGCGGGAAGAAGGCCUUCGGGUUGUAAACCGCUUUUAUUCGGAAAGAAGGAGUGGGGGUUAAUACCUCUCAUGACAGACGGUACCGGAUGAAUAAGCACCGGCUAACUACGUGCCAGCAGCCGCGGUAAUACGUAGGGUGCGAGCGCUAAUCGGAAUUACUGGGCGUAAAGCGUGCGCAGGCGGUUCGUUAAGUCAGCUGUGAAAGCCCCGGGCUUAACCUGGGAAUGGCGGUUGAAACUGGCGAACUUGAAUCUGGCAGAGGGGGGUGGAAUUCCACGUGUAGCAGUGAAAUGCGUAGAGAUGUGGAGGAACACCGAUGGCGAAGGCAGCCCCCUGGGCUGAGAUUGACGCUCAGGCACGAAAGCGUGGGGAGCAAACAGGAUUAGAUACCCUGGUAGUCCACGCCCUAAACGAUGUCAACUAGGUGUUGGGGGAGCAAUCUCUUGGUACCGCAGCUAACGCGUGAAGUUGACCGCCUGGGGAGUACGGUCGCAAGAUUAAAACUCAAAGGAAUUGACGGGGACCCGCACAAGCGGUGGAUGAUGUGGAUUAAUUCGAUGCAACGCGAACACCUUACCUACCCUUGACAUGUCCGGAAUCCUGGAGAGAUUCGGGAGUGCUCGAAAGAGAACCAGAACACAGGUGCUGCAUGGCCGUCGUCAGCUCGUGUCGUGAGAUGUUGGGUUAAGUCCCGCAACGAGCGCAACCCUUGUCAUUAGUUGCUACGAAAGGGCACUCUAAUGAGACUGCCGGUGACAAACCGGAGGAAGGUGGGGAUGACGUCAGGUCCUCAUGGCCCUUAUGGGUAGGGCUACACACGUCAUACAAUGGCCGGUACAGAGGGCUGCCAACCCGCGAGGGGGAGCCAAUCCCAGAAAACCGGUCGUAGUCCGGAUCGCAGUCUGCAACUCGACUGCGUGAAGUCGGAAUCGCUAGUAAUCGCGGAUCAGCUUGCCGCGGUGAAUACGUUCCCGGGCCUUGUACACACCGCC